UCCCACUCUACAGUCUCUGCAGAACCAAACCCCUUCUUUCUCAUUAAAGCCCUAGCUACAAAUCUUUUCUCCUAGACUAGAUUUCAAUUGGGCUCCCAGAAGAAUCUGUUCUAGACUGCAGAUUAGUAAACAAAAUCCUGGGGAAAUGAUUGAUGUUGAUACUGGUGGAGUAGUCGCGCUCAUCCUUUCUCUGUUGCACAAGAUGAUGACAUUCUAAUUCUGGAAAAUGAUGCAUUCUGCGAAUGUCUAUUCUUGAAUCUGAAUGAGUUUUAAAGAUUUAAAUUCAUUUGGUGGAGAAUGUGGCAUAGUCUAUUACACUUAAUUUGUUUUUAGAAAAGAAAUAGUCUGGAGAAGUAUAUGCUCGAGAAAUCGUGUGAAAUUUGAACCCUUUUGCAGUGUUUCUUGGAAAUUUAUCUGUUUUUUAGCGUAACUUCUUAGAAUGCUGUCAGUUUGAGAGUAACUUGAUUUUCCUAUUGAGUAUAGGUAUUCGUCUAAGAGAAAUAAUUCAUGCAAUGUAGGCAAGGUGCCUCACUGCCUGCUGAAAUGUACUUGUAAACAGUUAUACCUUUUUGACUUAUUAUUACAUUUUCAUGGCCAUGUUAUGGCACAGAUAUAACCAAAUUGCUUUACUUUUUGCUUUCUUGCAUAUGACUAUGUUGAGCUGACUGUAUAUAGGUUAAUAUCUUAUGGAUACCAUUGAAUUUGCAUUGUUGCCUGGAAUUUUCAUUUUUCAAGUCCUCUCAAAGUUCCUUCUUGUUGUAAAUAAUAGCUAGCAGCUGUAAAAGAGUCACCAGGUCUCCAUGAUCUAGUAUUGGUGGCGUGAGUGAGAAACUUUGGUUCAUGUUCCUUAACUGUCAACAGAUACUAUACGACAAACCAUGACUAGCAGUUCCCCAAAAUGAAACUAGGACAGGACAGAGUUUCUAGGAUAUGAAAUAGUAAUAGUUGAAACAACAUACAAGUCUAAGAGAAAUCUCAUCCCAAUCAAACCCAAACAACCCAGAGGGGGGAUCCUAUAACUCUAGAAAGUGAGAUGCAAACAAGUGAUGUAGAAGAUUUUUCUGCAUCAGCAAUACUAGUUCCCUGUACCUGCUAGUUUGUCUGAUGACCAUCUAAAGGCCCAUUUGUUCUUGCUUUCAAAGAUAUUCCAAGCUGGAAAUCUGCAUUUCUAGCUUGCGAAUUCAAAAUUAUAGAGCAACGUGAGGUAAUCAUUGGUUACUGGAGUAGUAAAAUUUGAAAAUGAAAACUGUUGGUUUCCUAUUACCGAGAGGAGGUACCUUGGAACGAUGGGCUACCAUCGUAUCUGGAAAAGUUAACGACUCAUAUGUAAGGAAUCGAUUCCAGUUGGUUCGAUUGGUUUUAGAGUCUCAACUAGAAACAGUUUUCAAAGUUCCCUGCAGCAACUGCUGUACCAUAAUGUCCAUCACAAAACUCCGAAAACUGUCGGUUUUAGUUGCUAAGGCCCCACGCAUGAGUAGUAAAAUCCGAAAACUGUCGGUUUCCUAUUACUGACAGAUGAUACCUUGCAUUGAUGGGCUAUAAUCAAAUCUGGAAAAGUAAACGAUUUAUAUGUAAGGAAUAGGUUUCAGUUUGGUUAGAUUGGUUUGAGAGUCUCAACUAGAAACAGUGAAGUUUCCUGCAUCAAGAUUCCAACCGCUGUACUCCAACGUCCAUCACAAAACUCAAGGUGUGGCUUUUGUUCUGCGGUAGCAUGCACCUAGGCUAGGGAUGAAAUUUGAGUUGUCGUUCGCAUAAUUCUAGAAGUCUUUUAUCAUGACAGUACCAAGUGGAAAAAGGUCAAGGACUGUAACACCAGCGAUUGAGUUUAUAUAGUUGCUGGGUGCAGGAACUUGGAUUCUUAGUUAACAAACAAACGGCAUUCAUUUUCUCGCCUUGAAUGUUCUGGAAAAUACUUCGUUUCUCUAAAUGCAAAUUGAGUUAAUCAGUGAAAUUUGAAACUUGUUAUUGUAUUAUUGGGGUUCAAAAGCACCAGCCUUGCCCAUUGUGGUCAUAGGGUGGUCAUUGACCAUAGCAGGUACUUAACAUCCAGUAGGAGGAGCUAAAAAUGGCUCCCUAGGGUGCAGGAGCAGGAACUAUAGAAGGAAGUGAAGCAAUGAAUUGGUAGAAGCAGAAAUAGCAGGGAUGGGAACCAUAGUCUCAACAGAUGGGGAGGAGGAGUCAACAGCUCAUUCUUGGUAAGAUAGAUCGGUUUAGUUUGCUUUAAAAUUUAAUUUCCAUGUUUAUGUCUCAAACAACAGAUAAUGACACGUUGAAUGCAGAGUCAAUGUUGAGUAACAACCAACAAUCUCAACUGAUAUUUUUUAUUUGAAUCUUAGUCACACUUGUUUAUAUGAACUUCAUAAUGAACGACACAUACUGUUUUUCUGAUGAUAGCUCUCAUUGGCUACUAUUUUCAAAACUUUACAAAAUUCCGGACGAAACCUUAGUUAGUUUUGAAGAAUGAGUGAAUCUAACUGCAGAUUUAUGCUGCACAAGUAUAGGUUAUGUUCUUCCAGAUGAGGAGUCUCCUCUGCAAGUAUCUGAAAGGAGAAUUUUUCAUGUCAGGACCAGAUUGUUAUUGAUGAAAUAUAGAACCAUCAGAAAGUGAAUGAAAAAUAGAUCAGUAAAAGUAUUAUUACCUCAAAUCCCAUCUUUCUGUAUAGCGCCAGUGCUGGUUUGUUAUCCCGAUGGACAAGUACAAAUACCUGCUUUAUACCUGACACAUCAAAUUCAAGAUUAUCGGUUGCGUUAGUUUUCCUCCUUGCAGGUAAGCAUCCAAUUUGGAUCACUGGAAGAGAAAUUAAGCAGUCAAACAACUGAGGGAUGGUCUUACCGUGUUCUUCUGCAGUUUCAAUUGCAAACUUCAGCAUGCUGCUUCCAACACCUUGUCGACGUGCACUUUCAGCAACAGCUACAUUUGAGAUUGUGCCAUAUUUCUCUAAUCCUUUUUGUCUGAAGGUGCUAGAUGCAUUCACAAUCUUCCAGAGUUCCUGAGGAGUCAAGGAAUUCAAAUCUUAGGUGAUUCUCAACAUCAAAUUGCCAACUUAAAUUAGAAAAUUAUCCAAGUAUAAUGCACCUGAUCAGGAUAAGUCUCCCACUGUAACUGGUACUUGACACGAAAAUCCAGAGUUCCAAUGACAUUUUUAAACAUGUGCACAUUCUUGCCUUCGUUUCUUACAGCAACAAUGCACAUGAAUGGUUCUAAAUAACGCGUCGAAUAUCGCCUUUCUAUUGUAUCCAACUCCUGCAUUAACAGUAUGCCAAUAAGCAGCACCAUUCUCAUGUGAUGCAUUUACUAAUUUUCAGUUGUGUAAGUGUAGUUUUUACUUUUACCUG
This is a long non-coding RNA of Papaver somniferum (opium poppy), 3336 nucleotides long. RefSeq lists it as uncharacterized. The record is from RefSeq and is a predicted model, not a curated record. The transcript is spliced from 3 exons. Lineage: Eukaryota; Viridiplantae; Streptophyta; Magnoliopsida; Ranunculales; Papaveraceae.